This 497-nucleotide ribosomal RNA is filed under the name uncultured bacterium. RNAcentral's name for it is "partial 16S ribosomal RNA". It matches the Rfam family "Bacterial small subunit ribosomal RNA", at positions 28 to 507 of the family's 1533-position model. The record is from RNAcentral.
GAUGAACGCUGGCGGCGUGCCUAAUACAUGCAAGUCGAGCGAACAGACGAGGAGCUUGCUCCUCUGACGUUAGCGGCGGACGGGUGAGUAACACGUGGAUAACCUACCUAUAAGACUGGGAUAACUUCGGGAAACCGGAGCUAAUACCGGAUAAUAUAUUGAACCGCAUGGUUCAAUAGUGAAAGACGGUUUUGCUGUCACUUAUAGAUGGAUCCGGGCGGCAUUAGCUAGUUGGUAGGGUAACGGCGUACCAAGGCAACGAUGCGCAGCCGAACUGACAGGGUGAUCGGCCACACUGGAGCUGAGCCACGGUCCAGACUCCUACGGGAGGCAGCAGUAGGGUAUCUUCCGCAAUGGGCGAAAGCCUGACGGAGCAAGGCCGAGUGAGUGAUGACGGUCUUCGGAUCGUAAAACUCUGUUAUUAGGGAAGAACAAAUGUGUAAGUAAAUAUGGACGUCUUGACGGUACCUAAUCAGAAAGCCACGGCUAACUACGUG